UACACCAAACUGCUGCACUCCAUCACAUACAGUCGGUUCAUCAAGUCACUGUAUUCUUACUGCAACUUGAGGCUUGCAGUUCAUGGAGGAAUUUAGCACAGCCUAUUUGUUUUAUUCUACAGAUUGAUUCACUGAACAUAUAUACCUGCUUAUGAGAAUGCCAAUGUAGCAAUAAAACCAAGAACAUGGCUGCAUCAUCAUCAGGAAGAGAAUUAGAGGAGAGCAAUCUCACUUUGUUUCCAAGGCCUCCAGGUGAUGAUCUUACCCAGACAUCAAGGUUCUCAAUUACUGGCUGGUUCCGCAAGGGAAAAGCAGAUUCCCAAGGUUCCAAGUCCAGUGACAAAAACCCUGGUAGCCGACCCAAGGAUCUACCAAUCAGGAAGUCCGUACUAGAACACAAACAAGAAGAAGAAGAUCUAGAGGCUGAGAGAGAAGCUCCAACCAACACUGAAAGGAGAUCGUCUGAUGGUAGAUUGAAACCCGAAGGUCAAUUAAGAGGUUUACUUCCUCGAAGCCUGUCUCCUUUGGUCGGUGGUGGGUCAAAGAAGGAUCUGGACCAGUCUUUGUCCAAGUCCAGAGGAUAUGAGUCCAGUGUAUCAGCACCGGUGGUCAAUUACACUCGGAGCUUGACCACUGUCCUUAAGCACCUUAGUAGUUUGAUUGAGAGGAAGGGACAGGAUCCUACAACCUAUUCAGACAGCAGUCUGCGACAGUAUUGGAUGCCAGACAGUCAGUGUAAAGAGUGCUAUGACUGCGGGGAAAAGUUCACUACGUUUAGACGGCGCCACCAUUGUCGGGUGUGCGGACAGAUUUUCUGCAGCCGCUGCUGCAAUCAGGAAGUUUCAGGCAAAUUCAUAGGAUUCAUUGGAAACCUUCGGGUCUGCACCUACUGUUGUAAGGUUGUGCUGAGCUAUGCUCAGUCGGCUUACACUGGUGACCUCAAAGCCCUACAGGAGGACCUGAUGACCGUUACUGAGGCAAACACACCGAAUUCGGAGGAUGCCGUGCUGACACCAAGAAAGAAGUUCUUAGGAUUCAUGGAUGAAGAUAUGAGAAGAACAAGUCGAGCAAUGAGUGUUGGGAGUGUGGACGCUCCUUCAUCCUCUAAUCUCUUUGAAGUCUUUCCUGGUCUUACCAAUUCAACUGAUUCACAAGUAUCCAUUGUUGAAAAUCAAAAGCUAUUGAAUUCGGCACAACUUCGAGAUCUGUGGGUCCUGAUAAAGAAUCCCAACAAUGGAAUAAUGUUUCAGAAUCAUCGUUACCGUCUACGGACCUAUCCUGAUUGCAUCAUCGGUAGCGAGCUUGUUGAUUGGCUCAUUCAAAACGACAAAGCUGCUCAAAGAGUACAAGCUGUGGCCAUUGGUAAAGCCUUGCUAGAUGCUAAAUGGAUCAAGUGUGUUACAUCAUCCUACCAGGAAGGUUUCGUUGAUGGAUAUGCCCUCUAUUGUCAAGGAGAGUUAGCGGAGAGUCAGGACUUACUCGCCCCCCAGGGCAGUGAGUCGGAGAAUCCCGUCUUUGGAGAGUUCAUGGAACCUGUAUGGUUCAGAGAUAUUCAUCAAGAUGAUGACAUCAACUCAGAGGACGAUCUGUUAGACCGCAAAUCAAUGAAUGAAGCAGUCAUCAUCAGCCUUCCCGAAUCGUUGCCUUCGAUAGACCAUCCAACGGAGGAACAGGACGGGAGCGAUCAGUCUCGCCAAAAAUACAAUGCUUCCCCAAUACCGACCUUCAAAUUGGAGUUAGAUACAGGAACUCAUGAUGGUGGACAGAAGGAAGGAUUGGCCAAUGGUCAUUGGGAAGUGACCAAUCAAGAGAUCUCCGUUCCUCACACCACAGAUUCCCUUACAGAUAGUUUUGGAGGGACCUCGGCGAUAAGUCAACCAUCUCCAGGCCUGUCCCAGUCCUUCCCCUGGAGCUACGAGAUGUUGGAGCCUGGUCUAGCCUGUCCAGAUACAACUGGGGACCUGGUCCUGGAAUCCAUUAGGACUGAAGCUAACAAGAUCCUUGUUGCUUUCUUGGACCAGCAGCUCCAGCAUGAAGGACUAGACCCAAGCUGGGCAGAGAAGAUCCUGCCUCUUGCCAAGAAGAUAUGCUCAAUGGUCAAACCCAAUGUUGCUGAGGGUGAUGUAAUGGAUAUCAGAUACUAUGUCCACAUCAAGAGGGUCCCAGGAGGCAGUAGAUCUGAAUGCUGUUUGGUCAAGGGUGUCAUCUCAACCAAGAAUGUGGCACAUAAGAAGAUGUCACAGAAGCAAAGUAAUCCUCGGAUUCUUCUAUUACAAGCAGCCAUUGAGCAUCAGAGAGUACAGAAUAAGUUAGCUUCCCUGGAACCUCUAGUUCUUCAGGAACAUGAAUACCUCAAGAACUGUGUAUCUAAGAUCGUUGCUCUGCGUCCGACUGUCUUGGUCGUAGAGAAGUCUGUUGCGAGACUCGCUCAAGACUUCUUAUUGGCUUGUGGAAUCAGCCUUGUACUCAAUGUGAAACCUCGUGUGGUGGGUAGGAUAACCCGGCAGACUGAAGGUAGCAGUAUUUCCUCCAUCGAUCAGGUUUCUGCAGCUAAACUGGGCACCUGUCAGAACUUCUAUCUUCAGAGGUACACCCUACCCGGAGGUUUCACAAAGACUUUGAUGUUCUUUGAUGGCUGUCCUGGUCAUCUAGGAUGCUCGGUUUUAUUACGGGGAGGAGGCAUUGCAGAACUCUCUAAGGUGAAGAGAGUGCUGAAUCUGAUGGUGUAUGCCGUCUAUCAUUCUCGUCUCGAGACCUCGUACCUCAAGGACGAGUUUGCCAAGCCUCCUCUGACCCCAUCCCCCGCAGGAAGCCCACCAAACUCACCACCAUCACCCAUGGGACAGACACCUGGACGACAAGCUAUGAAGGACACAGGAACCUUCCAUGAAGUCAUCAAGGCUGUCAGGAUUGAACAGGCUUUGAUCAGGAAACCUGCAGGAGUGGACAACCCUGCAGGAGAGGUAGAGACAGGCAUUCCUGUCCUUGCAACCCCUCCAUCGAGUCGGAGAGGAUUCAAAGCCACAGUGCAGAAGCUUCUGAUGGGGAAGGGGAGUGAUGGAAGUGAUCAUAGUGGGAGUAGCAGUGCCGCCGGUAGCAGGAGAAGCAGCGAUGGCACUGUGGGUAAUGAUCGGACAGGAGCUGUAGGAGUAGCAGCUAAAGAAAGUAGCAAAGAGAUGCCAAGUGGGGCUGCCAAGCUUCCUCAUGCAAGCACCUAUCCCAGCUUCGAUGCAGCAAUAGAAUCUGAAAGCCUGACAGUAGAUGCAGAAGGUACUGGAACACCCAAAAAACAUGAUGAUGCUACAGUGGAAGGUAUAUCACGAAUAGGUGCCGACUCAAGUUCUAGCCUCAGUGCAUCAGAAAAUGGACUUCUCCAAGAAUAUGUCCUUGUUGACGAGAGUAAACAUGAUCAUAAUGCCAUUUCUCAAAGUGACUCGAUGGUUGAGAAAGGUGGUGAGAUUAAAGUGAAAGACUAUCAGGUUAAGAAGAUCAGCAGCAAAGAGGAAGAAGAGAACGUCUUCAGCUUUGAUGUGAAUAGCAAUGACAGUGAGGCUGAGGAAGCUAUGGAAUCACUGGACUCAACAGACCCAUUAAAAUCAUCCAGUGAAGACAGUCCAUUAGAGAAGGAGGACAGAGAAAGGUUUUCCAGGGCCUUCAACAACACUAUUCUGACAAUUUCACCAUUUCUGGCAUUUCCUGCACCUUACUUUGAAACCGAAGAAGGGAGGCAGUCCCCAAACCGACACUUCUUUCCACAGAAUGUCUUCUGGUCUCCUAAGCUCCAAGACAACCCAGGAGAUGUCUCUCAGGCAGUGGAGGCACACCUGGAAGAUGACGAUCCUAAAGACGAUGUGGUUUACUGGUCGACAGAUCGUUGCACCCACAAGAUCAGCUCCAUGGGCUUAGCACAUCCCCACCCAUUCACUUUCCUGCAGCUGACCGAAGACUUCUGGUCGGAAUCCACCAGGACUCUUCUCGCUGACUUCCGUGCCCGCGGAGGGCGCUACAUCCCAAAGGACCAAGCUUCUGUCCACACCCUUGCUCAGAAAUCCCUCAUGAUUCCUCAUGAACACAAACCAAAGCAACAACAGAACGCAAACCAGCAAUACCUGCUAGCCAGGAAAGGCAACAAUGACACCCAAGAACAUCAGUCUAGACACCCUGUCUAUGACUGUCUUGACCCCUACCAUCACCAGAAGAUUCUUCUUCAGUUCAGCAGCUACUCGCAUCACUCAGGAAACAUGCCAGGUCACUGUAUCCACCCUUGGAUGGUUACCAUGGAAUUCUAUGGCUAUAACGAUAUCACCUUAGGCAUGUUCCUCGAUAGAUAUUGCUUUAGUGCCAACUAUCUGUGUCCCAGUGAGACCUGUGACACCCUGAUGGCUAAUCAUGUUAGGAGGUUCGUUCAUGGUAAUGCAUCAAUCCAAGUCCUUCAGAGACAGCUAGAUAGUCCUGUUCCAGGGUACAAGAACAAGGUCCUCAUGUGGAGCUGGUGUCGAAGAUGUAAACAGGUAACGCCUGUUCAGCCUAUGUCACGGGACACCUGGCACAUGUCAUUUGCGAAGUACCUCGAGAUACACUUCUAUGGGAAGGAUUAUGGUCGUCAUGGUAGCUCGUCUCCGUGCUGCCACUCUCUGCAUCAUCAUCACUAUCAAUAUUUUGGACAGCACAACAUGGUUGCAUCAUUCAAAUUCAGUCCCAUAAUUUUAAGAGAGAUAGCUUUCCCACCUCUUCCAAUCAUGAUAGACCAGCCGUUCAGAGCUCAUAAAAGCUACUUGGAGGAGAGCAAAAGUCUUGCCAUUAGAGGGAAUCAGGUGUUCCGUGGUAUUUUUGGUAACAUAUCAAGUCUAACGGUUGGCAAACUAAGUCAACUUCUUGAGCAGAAAGAGCAAGAGUUCACCAGUCAAUAUGAGACGGAUUACAAUCGCUUCAAGCAGAACAUGGACGAAGUGGAAACAAAAGUGAUGUAUGUGGAAAAGUGGAAAGCCAGCCCUGACAAGAAAAAAGAUAGCAGUGGGAACGACUGGAGCGAUUUCUGUCUCGAGGACCAGUUACUUGACAUUGAAGACUCCAUCGUCAUUGCUAAGAGAUGCUUGGCUGAAAUCAACUUUGCCUGGAAUACAAGAUUCCAUGAUUUUCUCCAGCAGGAAAAGGAAUUGGAGAAAAUGAGAAAGAGCUUAGGCCGCAAGCCAUCCGGUGAUGUAGAUACCCCAACGCCAACAAAACUGGAGUCUAAAACUGCUUUUCCUUUUGGACUAACACCCCCACUAACACCCAUGCUUACAAUGGAACAGUCCAGUCCUGUGUUCAUCAGCCCAUCUCAGCUGACCCCUUCCAUUACCAAGACCGGGGGGUUAGCCCUCAAACACCUGGAAACACUCCAUGAAAGAAAGAGGGAGGAGCUACAGGGUCGCCAGAGAGAUGAUAGUGAUGUCUCCAUGCUCGGUGACAUUUCUUUGACCUCCGAUAAGGCGGCAAGGUAUUUUGAUUAUGGUAUCUCACCGGGCCUGGUUGCUGGCCUGGAAUAUAAGCCAAGUAACCAUACGGAUUCUCCACCACAACAUGCUAAUGAUAACCACGAGCCAUCAGUCCGAGGAUCUGUGAACUUCAGCCAAGGGUCCCCACAGACAGGACCUAGACUAGGUCCAGUUCCAGGACCAGCGCCUUCAGUAGCCCCUAACAAUAAGAGAGACGUCGAGAAGAGUUGCGAGACCGUUUAUUCAAGCAGUCAGCUGGCUGCCAAGAGCUUCGUUGUUCAGGAUGAUAGCUCUCAACUGAAGGAAGAGAUAAAAGACGAGGGGAAGGACAGAGAGAAGGAUACAGGGAUGGAGGAUAGUGAGAAGGGCAUCCCCUGUUCUACUGCUGACGAACCAGUGACCUCUGUGGCAUCAUCCUUCACCCAAUCCUUAGAUGUGGUCGAUGGUAGGAGUCCAGCUAAGACCAAGCCAGGAGCUGUCAAAGGCUUUCUCAAUCAGUUCUUGCAACCCACUGGAUCUACCCAGAUAGAAACACCUUUCCCAGCCGAUGAGCAUCAUACUCUCCCACCGUGCAGUGUCAUACCAAUCAUAGUCUAUGACAAGGAGCCUAGUUCAAUCAUUGCCUAUGCACUCAGCUCGGAACAAUAUAAGACCAAGCUAUACGAGGUACAGCAGUCCCGCUGCGGCUCUGGUCGUUUGUCCCCAGGAGGAACAUCGCUAGGGUCAGCCCAGGGGAACAGUAACCCCGAAUCAGGACAGAGCAGUCCUCAUACCAGAAGAAAGGCUGCAGGGGAUGGAAGGAUGGGCGGAGGACCCGAGACCAAAGAUCUGUCACGUAAGAUUGGACAGUUAAAACGUCGCAUCAGUCAGGGGUGAUGAUGUUCCACCGGACGAAGACAUCGAGUGUGGGCGGGGCAAACCAGGGUGCCUCUAAAGAUGGUGGACCCUCUAUUACCAUAGACGCUGAAGACGAUGACUCACAAGAGAGGCUGAACCCAGAUGACAGGCUGGAUGAUCUACCAUUGCCUCAUAUAGAACUACAAUUCUCUGAUGAAACCAGCACGCAGUUCUUCUGUGGUGUUUAUUUCGCUGCUCAAUUCCAGGAGCUGCGGAAGAUCAUCUUCCCGGUCGGUGAGGACGUCUUCAUCCGGUCUUUGUCUCGU
RNAcentral lists this unclassified non-coding RNA (6640 nucleotides) under Lytechinus variegatus (green sea urchin). RNAcentral's name for it is "1-phosphatidylinositol 3-phosphate 5-kinase-like, transcript variant X3". Lineage: Eukaryota; Metazoa; Echinodermata; Echinoidea; Temnopleuroida; Toxopneustidae. The record is from RNAcentral.